UACGUAGGGUGCGAGCGUUGUCCGGAAUUACUGGGCGUAAAGAGCUCGUAGGUGGUUUGUCGCGUUGUUCGUGAAAACUCACAACUCAAUUGUGGGCGUGCGGGCGAUACGGGCAGACUGGAGUACUGCAGGGGAGACUGGAAUUCCUGGUGUAGCGGUGGAAUGCGCAGAUAUCAGGAGGAACACCGGUGGCGAAGGCGGGUCUCUGGGCAGUAACUGACGCUGAGGAGCGAAAGUGUGGGGAGCGAACAGG
This 253-nucleotide ribosomal RNA is filed under the name uncultured bacterium. RNAcentral describes it as "partial 16S ribosomal RNA". It matches the Rfam family "Bacterial small subunit ribosomal RNA", at positions 524 to 776 of the family's 1533-position model. The record is from RNAcentral.